RNAcentral lists this ribosomal RNA (353 nucleotides) under uncultured bacterium. RNAcentral's name for it is "bacterial SSU rRNA". It matches the Rfam family "Bacterial small subunit ribosomal RNA", at positions 1037 to 1390 of the family's 1533-position model. The record is from RNAcentral.
GGUGCUGCAUGGCUGUCGUCAGCUCGUGUUGUGAAAUGUUGGGUUAAGUCCCGCGACGAGCGCAACCCUUAUCCUUUGUUGCCAGCGGUUAGGCCGGGAACUCAAAGGAGACUGCCAGUGAUAAACUGGAGGAAGGUGGGGAUGACGUCAAGUCAUCAUGGCCCUUACGAGUAGGGCUACACACGUGCUACAAUGGCGCAUACAAAGAGAAGCGACCUCGCGAGAGCAAGCGGACCUCAUAAAGUGCGUCGUAGUCCGGAUUGGAGUCUGCAACUCGACUCCAUGAAGUCGGAAUCGCUAGUAAUCGUGGAUCAGAAUGCCACGGUGAAUACGUUCCCGGGUCUUGUACACAC